This 254-nucleotide ribosomal RNA is filed under the name uncultured bacterium. RNAcentral describes it as "partial 16S ribosomal RNA". It matches the Rfam family "Bacterial small subunit ribosomal RNA", at positions 524 to 776 of the family's 1533-position model. The record is from RNAcentral.
UACGUAGGGUGCGAGCGUUGUCCGGAAUUAUUGGGCGUAAAGAGCUCGUAGGCGGUUCGGUAAGUCGGGUGUGAAAACUUUGGGCUUAACCCAAAGACUGCACUCGAUACUGCUGUGACUUGAGUCCGGUAGGGGAGUGGGGAAUUCCUGGUGUAGCGGUGGAAUGCGCAGAUAUCAGGAGGAACACCGGUGGCGAAGGCGCCACUCUGGGCCGGUACUGACGCUGAGGAGCGAAAGCGUGGGGAGCGAACAGG